CCGCGGCCUAUCAGCUUGUUGGUGGGGUAAUGGCCUACCAAGGCGACGACGGGUAGCCGACCUGAGAGGGUGACCGGCCACACUGGGACUGAGACACGGCCCAGACUCCUACGGGAGGCAGCAGUGGGGAAUAUUGCACAAUGGGCGAAAGCCUGAUGCAGCGACGCCGCGUGAGGGAUGACGGCCUUCGGGUUGUAAACCUCUUUCAGCAGGGACGAAGCGAAAGUGACGGUACCUGCAGAAGAAGCACCGGCCAACUACGUGCCAGCAGCCGCGGUAAUACGUAGGGUGCAAGCGUUGUCCGGAAUUACUGGGCGUAAAGAGCUCGUAGGCGGUUUGUCGCGUCGUCUGUGAAAACUCGAGGCUCAACCUCGAGCUUGCAGGCGAUACGGGCAGACUUG
This 401-nucleotide ribosomal RNA is filed under the name Rhodococcus opacus. RNAcentral describes it as "bacterial SSU rRNA". It matches the Rfam family "Bacterial small subunit ribosomal RNA", at positions 231 to 644 of the family's 1533-position model. The record is from RNAcentral. Lineage: Bacteria; Bacillati; Actinomycetota; Actinomycetes; Mycobacteriales; Nocardiaceae.